Molecule: ribosomal RNA, 327 nt
Filed under: uncultured eukaryote
Lineage: Eukaryota
Description: partial 18S ribosomal RNA
Rfam family: Eukaryotic small subunit ribosomal RNA
Source: RNAcentral
CCCUUAGAUGUUCUGGGCCGCACGCGCGCUACACUGACGAAUGCAACGAGCUUAUAACCUUGGCCGAAAGGUCUGGGUAAUCUCCAAAUUUCGUCGUGAUGGGGAUAGAUUAUUGCAAUUAUAAAUCUUCAACGAGGAAUGCCUAGUAAGCGCAAGUCAUCAGCUUGCGUUGAUUACGUCCCUGCCCUUUGUACACACCGCCCGUCGCUCCUACCGAUUGAAUGGUCCGGUGAAGCGUUCGGACCGUGGCCUUUGGACGGUUCGCCGUCUGUUGGCUGCGGGAAGUUCGUUAAACCUUAUCAUUUAGAGGAAGGAGAAGUCGUAACA